CUUUGGUUUUGUAUUAAUUUUGUUGCUCGGUGUGGUCGGGGAUAUCCUCGAUUACCAGCGUGUGCAAUAGAUGUACACAAAUCCAAUGUGGCCAUCCCAAUUCUGUGUUACAGUCAUUGGAAUUGGACAGGAGCUAAAUCACAUAUUGAUAGUACGGGAACUAGAGAGCUUGGCUCUGACUGGUCUACUACAGCAAGGAAUGUGCCAGGGGCCAAUCUGAUGAACAUGUGGCAGAAGAUUUGGCAAUGGGUGAAGAAACACUGAGAUUGAAAUGCAACCACAGGUGGAGGCUUCACCCAAACUUUUCAGACGGAUGCGAGAUACAAAGUUACCCAAGUAUAAAUGGUUGAAGGUUUUGGAGAGCCAGAGAAGAAGGCAGGAAAUGUGAUGUCACUUUUACUUCAAUAAACAUGAACAGCAGCAGGAGCAACAACAGCAUCAGCAGCCGAAACCUCAACUGCAAUAAGAGAUGCAGCAACCGCACCGACAACAUCAAGAGCAACAGCAAAAAUACCUACAUGUAUUACAGCAGAAAUGCAACAAUCACAUUGGCAACAUCAACAGCAGCAGGAGCUCCAACAACCAUGCAGGGAACAUCGCGCGCAACAUAAAUAACUUCAUCAAGAGAUGCAACAAUCACAGUGGUAAACAUCAACAGCAGUAGCGACAACGACAGUAGAAACAAAGCCAAUGUCAAGGAUUAAGCAAUCAUACAGGAAACAACACAAGCGGCAACGUCAAUAAAUGCAUCAGGGGAUGCAACAGCCAUACUUGUAAACAGCAGCAGUAGCAGCGAUGACAAGAGCAACCACACAGGCAACACCUUGAGCAACAUCAGUAGCAAUGCACCAGCAAUGAAACAAUCACACCAACAACACCAAGAGCAGCAGCAAAAAGAAAAUAAAUUCCAGCAACCAUGAUGACAACAGCAGCGG
RNAcentral lists this long non-coding RNA (935 nucleotides) under Lytechinus variegatus (green sea urchin). Its description in RNAcentral is "uncharacterized LOC121421408, transcript variant X2". Lineage: Eukaryota; Metazoa; Echinodermata; Echinoidea; Temnopleuroida; Toxopneustidae. The record is from RNAcentral.